AGGCUUUAAAAUACAUAACUAAGAAACAUAACAGUUUAAGGUUUUAGCAACACCAGUCGUUUGCUUUUAAGUAGUUAUUAAUUAGAUAGAGAAUGAUAUAGGACCAACAAACCUUUUAGCCCUUAAUUAUUCAAGAAGGUGGAAGGUGAUGAUGUCAGAGGCAGAGGGAGCAUGAAGGGCAUGGUUUGGGUAAUGGUGGUGAUGGUUCUGGUGGAAACGAAGAGCGUAAGCACGCGACCCUUCGAUUUGAUAUCCAAGAACUGAGUCGUAAUCUCCUCCAUUGUCUACUAGUCCAUAGUGGGGAUCUUCAGCUCUUAGUUCC
This 322-nucleotide long non-coding RNA is filed under the name Arabidopsis lyrata. RNAcentral's name for it is "long non-coding RNA (ALYR_LNC001802)". The record is from RNAcentral. Lineage: Eukaryota; Viridiplantae; Streptophyta; Magnoliopsida; Brassicales; Brassicaceae.